RNAcentral lists this long non-coding RNA (933 nucleotides) under Homo sapiens (human). Its description in RNAcentral is "long non-coding RNA NONHSAT228861". The record is from RNAcentral. Lineage: Eukaryota; Metazoa; Chordata; Mammalia; Primates; Hominidae.
UCUUGAUAUAUGCCAGUCACACUCCCCCAAACUCCUCUCCAAGUAGAGAACUAAAGCUCUAUCAAAUAUUUCAUCCCAACUUAAUUUUCUAGGGUAUUUGUUGUUGUUGUUGUUGUUGUUGUUGUUUAUUUUGGCAGUUAGGCUUGUUCCUGAAGUUUAAAUGGCACGGUUUAAAUCAUGUUCUGUGCAUACAGGGAGGCCAUGUGUUCCCUGGGGCCCAGGACACCCAGCCUGGGUGCUACGUAAUGCGGCCUUCCUGUCUUAUGGGGCAUUGCUAACAGGUGGCCCAUCCCAAAUGCCUGCAGAUUUUCAGAGGGGCGCUGAACUCCCCAGAGAGGAAGGAUAGUGCGGAGAUUUCCAUUGUCUUGCUUUGGUUUAGAAAGCCCCAGGGUAGGGGUGAGUCCUGGUCCCGCCCCAGCCCUCGUGAAGACCCACCUGCCUCAGAGAAUGGCUGAGCUCCAGAGACACCUGAGUCAGUGCCCAGCCUGGCAGGAUCUUCUGCAACUACGUGCACCGGCACCUGUGCUGCAGGCCUCCCGCUCCCAGCCACGGACCAGCACCUGGGCUCAGGCCUUUAAGACCAGGAGUUGGCUGUGGAGGCUGAGGAGAGGCGAGACUUUGGCGUGCGGCUUGCGUGACUGCAACUAGACAAGGUUAGUCAUUUGGUAAAAACAGAUGUUGGUAUUUUCUAAAACAAAUCCGACUUCCAAAUAUUGGGCUGAAACACGCAUAGUGUUUCCCUCUAGUCGGGGGACUCCCUUUGUAACCUCACUCCUGAGUUUGAGACGUGGGGUGGGAGCCAGGCCAGGGUCGCUUACAGUGGGGGCCUCUUGCCCUCACAGCCUUGUCAGGAAUGGCCCCAAACCAAGAGCGUCCUCGGGUCAGUAUUUCCUGGAUUAUUACGUGAGUUUACUGCAAUAAACUUCAUCUGUG